This is a long non-coding RNA of Homo sapiens (human), 649 nucleotides long. Ensembl annotates it as long intergenic non-protein coding RNA 1377. NCBI's taxonomy places the organism in Eukaryota, Metazoa, Chordata, Mammalia, Primates, Hominidae. The record is from Ensembl.
AUUAAGCAGUGAAGACAGUGAGUUACUCAGCUGAUUUGUUCCGUGGAGAGUCAGGCUACCUGGUCAUCCUACUCAAUAUCCAGGCCUGCCCGAACCUCAAGACUGGGUGGGCACCGUUCAGAGGCCCCCAGCCCCUGCCCUUCUCCUGCGAGGGCCGAGCUCACCGUCAGGUCCCUGGGGCUUGGAACUAAGUAGCCACUUCAUAAACACAUGGAUUUUGGGGUGCCCCGGCCCCCAUAAAGAGAUCAAAUUAUGUCUCCUGCAUUCUGCUGUAAUGAAAUGAAUCAUAAAAUAUGUUUUAGAAGAAAAUUACUAUAAAAAGUUUCAAAAUUGUUAUUUAAAAAGGACCCCGCCAACACGCAUAUUGACCCAAGGAAUCUUCGGGAUGGACUCUGCUUCUGAUCACAUCUUCACCUGCUCGAGGAUCACCUGUGGCACGUCGGGCUCUGAAUGCAAGCCCCAGGACACCCCAUUUCAUGCGUCUGCAUUCUUAACCUCACUGCGCAUUAACAUGCAUCUCAAUGCAUCCAAAAUACCGCACCCCCAUCACAUCAGAGAGCAUUAAAAAUAAGCCAGCUCAAUGCACAAAAAUGAGGGCGACAAUCGGAAACACAAUGAUGUUUCUAAAGAAUGUCCAACCUUAACUGCA